Molecule: unclassified non-coding RNA, 1346 nt
Filed under: uncultured fungus
Lineage: Eukaryota; Fungi
Description: sequence contains 18S rRNA gene, ITS1, 5.8S rRNA gene, ITS2, 28S rRNA gene
Rfam family: Eukaryotic large subunit ribosomal RNA (bases 491-1346)
Source: RNAcentral
GGAAGGAUCAUUCACACUUACUUUUGGCCGAUCAACCAUGAACCUGUCGCCUUUCGGCCUCUCUUUUCACAGCGUAUCGAUUGAUGCGUGGCGGUUUUCGUGACGCGCCAGGUGAUAGAGGCGGAUUGGUUACUACUGUGGCAGAGUGAAGAUUUGAAGGAACAAUUUUUCUUAUUAAUUUCAGCGAUGGACGUCUUGGUUCCCUAAUCGAUGAAGGACGCAGUGAAUUGCGAUAAGCAGUGCGAAUUGCAGAAAUCUGUGAAUCAUCAGACCUCUGAACGCAUAUGGCGCUGCUGCAACUCGUUUGUGCAGCGUGUUUGGCUCAGUGUCUUUCAGCAUCAAUUAUAAGGCAAGUGGUGGCGUCGUGCGCAUUGGCUUGGCUAACGCGCUGCGUCGUCGGGAAACAGUGGUUAUGCUACAGUGGUGCUUGCAAUCAGCUGGAGGUUUUCCUGUCUAUUGUGGGUGCUGUCGUGGUUUUGUUUCUUGAUACUGACCUGAGCUCAAGCAAGAUGACCCGCUAAAUUUAAGCAUAUCAUUAAGCGGAGGAAAAGAAACUAAGCAGGAUUCUCUUAGUAGUUGCGAAUGAACAGAGAAUAGCUCAAAAUGAAAAUCACGCGCUUCUAGUGCGUGAAUUGUAGUCUGAAGGAGUGUUGCCUGUGGACGUCGCAGGGAAAAGUCUCUUGGAAGAGAACGCCAGAGAGGGUGAGAGUCCCGUCGCUGCCCUGCUAUACGUUCACAUACGGAGCACGUUCUUAGAGUCGCGUUUCUUGGGAGUGAAACGCAAAUUGGGUGGUAAACUUUAUCUAAGGCUAAAUAUUCUGUGGGAAACCGAUAGCAAAUAAGUACCUUGAGGGAAAGAUGAAAAGGACUUUGAAAAGAGAGUUAAACGUCCCCUGUGGUUUUGGUGCCAUUAACUGAGUGUUAUAACGGGCGUGUCUUUCGAGGCCGUUGCGGUUUUAACCCCCUAUUAGGUGGCAGAGAUCAAGGGAAUCACAUGCUGGCACAGCUUCGGCGUCCAGCAGGGUGGCAGCUGAUAUACAGUUUUUACCGACCCGUCUUGAAACACGGAUCAAGGAGUCCAACAGAUAUGCGGGUCCGGGGGCGGCAAACCCACGGGCAGAAUGAAAGUAACAGUUCCUAGCCGGAACAACCGACCACAAUCUCUGAGAGAGGUUUGAGUAGGAGCAUAUCUGUUGGGACCCGAAAGAUGGUGAACUAUUCCUGAAUAGGGUGAAGCCAGGGGAAACCCUGGUGGAGGCUCGUAGCGAUACUGACGUGCAAAUCGUUCGUCAAAUUUGGGUAUAGGGGCGAAAGACUAAUCGAACCAUCUAGUAGCUGGUUCCCUC